CGGGAAUUUUGGGCAAUGGGCGAAAGCCUGACCCAGCAACGCCGCGUGAGGGAUGAAGUAUUUCGGUAUGUAAACCUCGAAAGAAUGGGAAGAAUAAAUGACGGUACCAUUUAUAAGCUCCGGCUAACUACGUGCCAGCAGCCGCGGUAAUACGUAGGGAGCAAGCGUUGUUCGGAUUUACUGGGCGUAAAGGGCGCGUAGGCGGCGCGGUAAGUCACUUGUGGAAUCUCUGAGCUUAACUCAGAACGGCCAAGUGAUACUGCUGUGCUAGAGUGCGGAAGAGGCAACCGGAAUUCUUGGUGUAGCGGUGAAAUGCGUAGAUAUCAAGAGGAACACCUGAGGCGAAGGCGGGUUGCUGGGCCGACACUGACGCUGAUGCGCGAAAGCCAGGGGAGCAAACG
This 401-nucleotide ribosomal RNA is filed under the name uncultured bacterium. RNAcentral describes it as "bacterial SSU rRNA". It matches the Rfam family "Bacterial small subunit ribosomal RNA", at positions 356 to 774 of the family's 1533-position model. The record is from RNAcentral.